GUCUACUGCCAAACCACCCUGAACGCACCAGAUCUGAUCUUGGAAGCUAAGCAGGGUCAGGCCCAAUUAGUAUUUGGAUGGGAGAAGAAAGCACAGACAGCCACCAGCAGCCC
This 113-nucleotide ribosomal RNA is filed under the name Fukomys damarensis (Damara mole-rat). The record is from RNAcentral. Lineage: Eukaryota; Metazoa; Chordata; Mammalia; Rodentia; Bathyergidae.